CACCCGUUCCCAUACCGAACACGGAAGUUAAGCUUCUCAGCGCCGAUGGUAGUUGGGGCACGCGCCCCUGUGAGAGUAGGACGUUGCCAGGC
Molecule: ribosomal RNA, 92 nt
Filed under: Neobacillus sp. BSR1-1
Lineage: Bacteria; Bacillati; Bacillota; Bacilli; Caryophanales; Bacillaceae
Source: RNAcentral